ACAGAGGGUGCAAGCGUUAAUCGGAGUUACUGGGCGUAAAGGGCGCGUAGGUGGAUAUUUAAGUCGGAUGUGAAAUCCCCGGGCUUAACCUGGGAAUUGCAUUCGAUACUGGAUAUCUCGAGUAUGGUAGAGGAAAGCGGAAUUCCCGGUGUAGGGUUGAAAUGCGUGAAUUUCGGGAAGACCAUCAGGGCGAAGGCGGCUUUCUGGACCAAUACUGACGCUGAGGCGCGAAAGCGUGGGGAGCAAACAG
RNAcentral lists this ribosomal RNA (250 nucleotides) under uncultured prokaryote. RNAcentral describes it as "partial 16S rRNA". It matches the Rfam family "Bacterial small subunit ribosomal RNA", at positions 525 to 775 of the family's 1533-position model. The record is from RNAcentral.